ACAUGCGUACAACAUAACAUUAAUACACUAGAUCUGAUUAGAACUCUAGAGUUAAGCAUGCUCGGUUUAGAGUAUUAUUGGGAUGGGUGACCACCCAAGAAGUCCUAUUGUUUUACAUGCC
Picea glauca (white spruce) is the source of this 121-nucleotide non-coding RNA. NCBI's taxonomy places the organism in Eukaryota, Viridiplantae, Streptophyta, Pinopsida, Pinales, Pinaceae. The record is from Rfam.